This is a non-coding RNA of Schizosaccharomyces pombe (fission yeast), 232 nucleotides long. NCBI's taxonomy places the organism in Eukaryota, Fungi, Ascomycota, Schizosaccharomycetes, Schizosaccharomycetales, Schizosaccharomycetaceae. The record is from the annotation of a GenBank genome assembly.
CAUUUUUUUGCAAAAUAAAGAACGAUAGCAUCUCCUAGUAGACUUUAUGGCACUGUCAGCAACACUGGGUUUUCCAUCGCGUAGAGCAUAUGAUAAAAAACUGCUUUGUAGUGGAAGCAGUUCUAAAAUCCAAUACUGUAGCUCUUUCUCUGGAAGGUUGGGAAUCAUUGAAUUAACCCAGUUAAGACAAUCAAAUGAUACAGAGACAGUACUCCUGAAGCGAUCCAAUCUU